Molecule: long non-coding RNA, 273 nt
Organism: Perca fluviatilis (European perch)
Lineage: Eukaryota; Metazoa; Chordata; Actinopteri; Perciformes; Percidae
Exons: 4
Source: RefSeq, a predicted model, not a curated record
UGCCGACAAAUUUGCUAGAGAUUUCAUCGCUUGUGGAACAAUAAGAAGUGCUUGUGGCAACUGCCUUGAGGGCUCUUCACAGCUGCUUUGUCAGUGGGCCUCAGUACACUGGAGAUAAAGCUGACCAACCACAGAUCAUUCCAAAGACCUUCAUCGCUAAGGGAACCAUUGUGGGCAACGGACACGAAAACUGGGCUCUCCUGAGGCUGCUUCCAUUGAUGGACCAUGGGAAGCUAUAAACUAAGAAUCAUCAUAAAUGAAGGGGACAUACGG